GACGAACGCUGGCGGCGUGCCUAAUACAUGCAAGUAGAACGCACAGUUUAUACCGUAGCUUGCUACACCAUAGACUGUGAGUUGCGAACGGGUGAGUAACGCGUAGGUAACCUGCCUGGUAGCGGGGGAUAACUAUUGGAAACGAUAGCUAAUACCGCAUAAUAUUAAUUAUUGCAUGAUAAUUAAUUGAAAGGUGCAAUUGCACCACUACCAGAUGGACCUGCGUUGUAUUAGCUAGUAGGUGAGGUAACGGCUCACCUAGGCGACGAUACAUAGCCGACCUGAGAGGGUGAUCGGCCACAUUGGGACUGAGACACGGCCCAAACUCCUACGGGAGGCAGCAGUAGGGAAUCUUCCGCAAUGGACGCAAGUCUGACGGAGCAACGCCGCGUGAGUGAAGAAGGUUUUCGGAUCGUAAAACUCUGUUGUUAGAGAAGAACAAGUGCUAGAGUAACUGUUAGCGCCUUGACGGUAUCUAACCAGAAAGCCACGGCUAACUACGUG
RNAcentral lists this ribosomal RNA (504 nucleotides) under uncultured bacterium. RNAcentral's name for it is "partial 16S ribosomal RNA". It matches the Rfam family "Bacterial small subunit ribosomal RNA", at positions 28 to 507 of the family's 1533-position model. The record is from RNAcentral.